This 722-nucleotide ribosomal RNA is filed under the name Celeribacter halophilus. RNAcentral describes it as "bacterial SSU rRNA". It matches the Rfam family "Bacterial small subunit ribosomal RNA", at positions 157 to 915 of the family's 1533-position model. Lineage: Bacteria; Pseudomonadati; Pseudomonadota; Alphaproteobacteria; Rhodobacterales; Roseobacteraceae. The record is from RNAcentral.
CUGGGUUUAAUACCGUAUACGCCCUUCGGGGGAAAGAAUUUCGGUGAGGGAUCGGCCCGCGUUAGAUUAGUUAGUUGGUGGGGUAAUGGCCUACCAAGACUACGAUCUAUAGCUGGUUUGAGAGGAUGAUCAGCAACACUGGGACUGAGACACGGCCCAGACUCCUACGGGAGGCAGCAGUGGGGAAUCUUAGACAAUGGGGGCAACCCUGAUCUAGCGAUGCCGCGUGAGUGAUGAAGGCCUUAGGGUCGUAAAGCUCUUUCGCCUGUGAUGAUAAUGACAGUAGCAGGUAAAGAAACCCCGGCUAACUCCGUGCCAGCAGCCGCGGUAAUACGGAGGGGGUUAGCGUUGUUCGGAAUUACUGGGCGUAAAGCGCACGUAGGCGGAUUAGUCAGUCAGAGGUGAAAUCCCAGGGCUCAACCCUGGAACUGCCUUUGAUACUGCUAGUCUUGAGUUCGAGAGAGGUAAGUGGAAUUCCGAGUGUAGAGGUGAAAUUCGUAGAUAUUCGGAGGAACACCAGUGGCGAAGGCGGCUUACUGGCUCGAUACUGACGCUGAGGUGCGAAAGUGUGGGGAGCAAACAGGAUUAGAUACCCUGGUAGUCCACACCGUAAACGAUGAAUGCCAGUCGUCGGGUAGCAUGCUAUUCGGUGACACACCUAACGGAUUAAGCAUUCCGCCUGGGGAGUACGGUCGCAAGAUUAAAACUCAAAGGAAUUGACG